Molecule: RNA transcript, 531 nt
Organism: Carlito syrichta (Philippine tarsier)
Lineage: Eukaryota; Metazoa; Chordata; Mammalia; Primates; Tarsiidae
Gene name: ubiquitin-40S ribosomal protein S27a-like
Exons: 2
Source: RefSeq, a predicted model, not a curated record
AUGCAGAUUUUCAUGAAAACCCUUACAGGGAAGACUGUCACUCCUGAGGUUGAACCCUCGGAUACAAUAGAACAUGUAAAGGCCAAGAUCCAGGAUAAGAAGGAAUUCCUCCUGAUCAGCAAAAACAAAUCUUUGCUGGCAAGCAACUGGAAGAUGGACGUACACUGUCUGACUACAGCAUUCAAAAGGAGUCUGCCCUUCAUUUUGUGUUGAGACUUCGUUAUGAGACUCCAACUCAAAAAAAAAAAACCAAAAAGAAAAAGAAAAGGAAGAAGUCUUACACCAAGAAGAAUAAGCAUAAGAGAAAAAAGCUUAAGCUGGUUGUCCUGAAGAACUAUAAGGUGGAUGAGAAUGGCAAAAUUAGUUCCCCUCGUCGAGAGUGUCCUUCAGAUAAAUGUGGUGCCGGAGUUUUUAUGGCCAGUCACUUUGACAGAUAUUAUGGUGGCAAAUGUUGUCUGACUUAUUGCUUCAACAAACCAGAAGACAAGUAAUUGUGUAUGAGUUAAUAAAAGACAUGAACUAAAAAAAAAA